GGGCGUAUGGUGUAGUGGUAUCACUCAUGCUUUGCAGUAUGAAUUGAUCUUUGUGAUUAACCAUCAUUUCUUUGUAUGCGGUCCAGGGUUCAAACCCCUGUGCGUCCA
Non-coding RNA from Mycena epipterygia, 108 nucleotides. The record is from the annotation of a GenBank genome assembly. NCBI's taxonomy places the organism in Eukaryota, Fungi, Basidiomycota, Agaricomycetes, Agaricales, Mycenaceae.